Molecule: ribosomal RNA, 506 nt
Filed under: uncultured bacterium
Lineage: Bacteria
Description: partial 16S ribosomal RNA
Rfam family: Bacterial small subunit ribosomal RNA
Source: RNAcentral
AGUGAACGCUGGCGGUAGGCCUAACACAUGCAAGUCGAACGGCAGCACAGGAGAGCUUGCUCUCUGGGUGGCGAGUGGCGGACGGGUGAGGAAUACAUCGGAAUCUACUCUGUCGUGGGGGAUAACGUAGGGAAACUUACGCUAAUACCACAUACGACCUACGGGUGAAAGCAGGGGCGCUUCGGCCCUAGCGCGAGUGAAUGAGCCGAUGUCGGAUUAGCUAGUUGGGGGGGUAAAGGCCCACCAAGGCGACGAUCCGUAACUGGUCUGAGGGGAUGAUCAGCCACACUGGAACUGAGACACGGUCCAGACUCCUACGGGAGGCAGCAGUGGGGAAUAUUGGACAAUGGGCGCAAGCCUGAUCCAGCCAUACCGCGUGUGUGAAGAAGGCCUUCGGGUUGUAAAGCCCUUUUGUUGGGAAAGAAAUCCAGCUGGCUAAUACCCGGUUGGGAUGACGGUACCCAAAGAAUAAGCACCGGCUAACUUCGUGCCAGCCGCCGCCGUAA